Molecule: long non-coding RNA, 160 nt
Organism: Sinocyclocheilus grahami
Lineage: Eukaryota; Metazoa; Chordata; Actinopteri; Cypriniformes; Cyprinidae
Exons: 3
Source: RefSeq, a predicted model, not a curated record
UAGGAACAACCUGGUUUUCUCUUUUUUCCAGUGUGCAGGCUGUGUACUGCUCAGUGAGGAAUCGAGUGUUAUUCAGGAGGACCAUGCGGGUCAGUCAGGCCUUAAAGGAGAGAAGGGAAACCGGGGUUUGGACUGUACUGGUGCUGGAGUUCCUGGACGA